Molecule: unclassified non-coding RNA, 482 nt
Filed under: Fusarium neocosmosporiellum
Lineage: Eukaryota; Fungi; Ascomycota; Sordariomycetes; Hypocreales; Nectriaceae
Description: sequence contains ITS2, 28S rRNA gene
Rfam family: Eukaryotic large subunit ribosomal RNA
Source: RNAcentral
CAAACAGGGAUUGCCUCAGUAACGGCGAGUGAAGCGGCAACAGCUCAAAUUUGAAAUCUGGCUCUCGGGCCCGAGUUGUAAUUUGUAGAGGAUGCUUUUGGUGCGGUGCCUUCCGAGUUCCCUGGAACGGGACGCCAUAGAGGGUGAGAGCCCCGUCUGGUUGGACGCCAAUCCUCUGUAAAGCUCCUUCGACGAGUCGAGUAGUUUGGGAAUGCUGCUCUAAAUGGGAGGUAUAUGUCUUCUAAAGCUAAAUACCGGCCAGAGACCGAUAGCGCACAAGUAGAGUGAUCGAAAGAUGAAAAGAACUUUGAAAAGAGAGUUAAAAAGUACGUGAAAUUGUUGAAAGGGAAGCGCUUGUGACCAGACUUGGGCUUGGUUGAUCAUCCAGGGUUCUCCCUGGUGCACUCUUCCGGCCCAGGCCAGCAUCAGUUCGCCCCGGGGGAAAAAGGCUUCGGGAAUGUGGCUCUCUCCGGGGAGUGUUA